Molecule: ribosomal RNA, 301 nt
Filed under: uncultured bacterium
Lineage: Bacteria
Description: partial 16S ribosomal RNA
Rfam family: Bacterial small subunit ribosomal RNA
Source: RNAcentral
CAGCCGCCGCGGUAAUACAGAGACUGCAAGCGUUAUUCGGAUUCACUGGGCGUAAAGGGUGCGCAGGCGGCCAUGCGUGCGAGGCGUGAAAGCCCGAUGCUUAACAUCGGAAUUGCACCUCAAACUACAUGGCUAGAGCAUUGGAGAGGGUAGCAGAAUUCAUGGUGUAGCAGUGAAAUGCGUAGAUAUCAUGAGGAAUACCAGAGGCGAAGGCGGCUACCUGGACAAUUGCUGACGCUCAGGCACGAAAGCGUGGGGAGCAAAAGGGAUUAGAUACCCCCGUAGUCCCUGUCUCUUAUAC